This 68-nucleotide transfer RNA is filed under the name Limenitis fortuna. RNAcentral describes it as "Athyma fortuna tRNA-His". The record is from RNAcentral. Lineage: Eukaryota; Metazoa; Arthropoda; Insecta; Lepidoptera; Nymphalidae.
ACUUAAAUAAUUUAAAAAUUAAAAUAGUGACUUGUGGUGUCAAAUAUAUGAAAAAUUCAUUUUAAGUC